This 737-nucleotide long non-coding RNA is filed under the name Actinidia chinensis (golden kiwifruit). RNAcentral describes it as "long non-coding RNA (ACHI_LNC001477)". The record is from RNAcentral. Lineage: Eukaryota; Viridiplantae; Streptophyta; Magnoliopsida; Ericales; Actinidiaceae.
GAAGGAGAAGCAGCAGCGAAGAACAGAAGAAAGAAAAGGGAAAGUGAAGUCUACGAAUUCUUUUGUCAAAAGUUGACAUAUAUAGUGUUAAUUACAUAUGUGACCCCUAAAGUUAUAGUUAACAUUCCAAUUAACUUAUAAAUUUUAGUACUUUCAAUUUAACUCACAACCAACCUAAAUAAACAUAACUAUACUUUAUAUAAAUGAUGAAAAUUACCUGAAUCGUCACAGGACAACUAUAAUAGGCAGGUCACUCGGAGUCCUUUCUGGAAGGAUGGCUGUCUUGCCUAAAGAAACUCAGGGUGCCCGAGGACAACCCAGUUGAGCCAGGGGCUUCAUUUGCUCUUGAUUUCCUUAAGCCUCCCGUACCUUAUUCUCCACUAAUCCUUUCCAGUUUCGAGGAGGAAGAGUUUCUGAAUAGGCCGGAUGAAGACAAGGGCGCUCUUGAGCCUGUCCCAGACCCUGCCGUAUCUCUAGGCAUCGAAACUACCAAUCCUAUGGAGGAAGUCAAAAGAACAGUUGCUGAGGCAUUUGAGGAAAGGCCAGCCGAGGAGAGUGGAGUUGGUGGCGUGGAAGAUGUAGACCCCCCUUCUUGAGUGUUGACAUGCUUCUUUUUUCAUAAAAACUCAUUUGAUUUCCGUUUGGGCAUGUACAUACUUAUUUUUUACUUUGGUCUUCGUGUUAGUAUUGCCCUUCCGCUUUAUGCUUGGAUUCUUCUUUUAUACAAAAUAUAGAAA